AAUGUGUAACAAUCAAUUUUAAUUGACGUUAGAUUCAUUUAUGAAGUUAGAAUAUCUGUCCGAGUAAAUUUGAAUUCAAUUAGUUUGAUUUCAGAUACUCACUGGAUUCAAACUUCCCAUGAUAAAACCUAUUUGUCCAGUCGGAUAAGUCGGAACUGCAACAACACAAUACGAAGUUUUUGCAAACGCAGAUCUGCAAUGUUGCAACGUUCGUUCAACGAUGUCCAAAUUUGCCCAAGCUGUCCCACCUUGGCUACAUAUUAUUCCUCCAGAUCUCAGAGCUGUGCUCAUUAAUUUAAACCCCACGGCCAUGAAGGGCAAAUAUUUUCUGGCAGCCGAAAGAACAGACUCGUCGAUUUCUACUUGGGUUAUACUUUUUACAUUUGGAUGCUUGGCCACCUCACGUGCUACGCCGCCGUCACCCCCAC
Molecule: unclassified non-coding RNA, 428 nt
Filed under: Athalia rosae (coleseed sawfly)
Lineage: Eukaryota; Metazoa; Arthropoda; Insecta; Hymenoptera; Athaliidae
Description: misc RNA ENSAEAG00005008966.1
Source: RNAcentral